RNAcentral lists this unclassified non-coding RNA (326 nucleotides) under Hevea brasiliensis (rubber tree). Lineage: Eukaryota; Viridiplantae; Streptophyta; Magnoliopsida; Malpighiales; Euphorbiaceae. The record is from RNAcentral.
AGGAAUUCAAGAAUUUGGGUUCGUACCCAGAUGCUAGAACUUCUUGAAUCCUCUCAUCAAACGCCUAUUUUCUUUGGAAUUUCUUGUUUGAUGGAAACACAGUUACCUACUCUGAUCUUUGUGAUUUUAGGGCUUGUAUGUAAUUUCCGUGCUCUUCUUGCUGAAUCACAGCCACAGAAUGUCCAUGCAUCACUCGCAUUUGUAACCCCAUCGCGUCCUCCGCGGCUGCCACCACCAUCGCCAUCACCGCAAUCUCCGCCUCCUUCUCUUCCAUCUCCAUCUCCUUCUGCACCUCACCCUUCUCCACCUCCACCUCCACCUCCACC